AGAAUGAUACAAUGCUUAUAAAUUAUUUGUAAACAUACCAACGUUUCGCGUAGUAAUCUCAGACAAUACUGCAUAACGUUAUGCAGUGUAAAAAUUUUUGUCAACAAACGCACGUUGAGAACAACCAGUGACUGUCCAUCUUCGACAUACGUAAGAUGAAUGUCAAGAAACUGAUUAACAUUAACUGACAAGAGGAGACAAUGAGAGCCCAACAUCAUUCUUCAUCUCUGGUGAAGGGGAGAGUUGGUAAAUUUGUGUGCACGGCUAAAUUUAAGCAAAAUAAAGAAAAAGACGGAUGCUAUAAAAAUGCAGUGUUGGCUUCCCAGUUCAGCACUUUUAAAGAGGGACAAACAUUGCACGUUUGCAACUUCUAAAUGGAAGCAGGGCAUCUGAAAUAUGCUGGAAUCCUCAUCUUAAUGGCCUUAACGCCAUUUUCAAGAAUAUCCUGCUGAAAAAGACAGUUUUCAUUGGUAUAAUGGAUGCAAGACAACACUAGUGAAUUGAAAUUGCUGUUCCACAAAUGGCACACUCCAGGAUUACACGCUUUCCAAAAACACCAUUACAGCAUGCAGCCAUAAAGGGAUUCUUUGAAAGUCUAUGUUCUGUAAUGGUGGAAGUUCUCUUGAAGAUUCCAUUAGUAUUAAAAUAAAAACUUAAAAGUUAAAAGUUCAAAUGUCUUCAAUACUAGAGACCUGUGAUUUGACAGUACAACAUGGAGCAAUUGUAAAGGACACAUAAUUCGUACAUUAUUGAAUAUCAAUAUAUAGUUAUCCAUAAAUUACUGGGCUUUUACAUUGUAUUUUAAUUCUCAACAUUUGCAUAUAUGUUUAAUCUUUGUAAAAUAUGUUUGGUAUACAGUACAGUAAGUAAAUACAUUCUUUCUAAGUUUUAAACAUUUGUCAACAAUAUAUAUGAACUGCAAUCUGUGGAUCAAUUAGAGGUCUGCAAUUCUCCACAAAUAAAAUGACUUUGAAAUCACCCUGUUACUGUUAAACUUGAGAAUAUAUUAAGAAAACAUCUAAAAAUCUUUGUUAAAUACCUUUUUUUACAAUACAUUGUCCAGAUAUUUUGUGUAUUAUUCUAUGAAGCUGAUUUCUCAAUGGCUAUUGCUUCUCAGGUAAGCAAAGUGAC
Molecule: long non-coding RNA, 1131 nt
Organism: Magallana angulata
Lineage: Eukaryota; Metazoa; Mollusca; Bivalvia; Ostreida; Ostreidae
Exons: 3
Source: RefSeq, a predicted model, not a curated record